UAGCCAUCUAAAAACCUUUCCAUGUUCACAAAGAGAGUGAAACUGUUCUAAUAUUUUUUUCAGAUGAAAAUUGGAGAUUUGAGGUCUUCAGUUGUGAAAAGUCAGAGGUCACACUCUGAUUAAGUUCUACUGUCGUUCUCCAGCAGGGGUCUUGUAAAGGCAGGUGUGUGGGAAAAUAAAACUUCCCAGACUUCUUUCCAGACUCCCCAGAGCUCCUAUAAAAUCCCUUCGCCCCCGCUAAGAUACAGAAAUGAAUACAACACAAAGGGAAAGAAUAUACAGGACAUGAAGACAGGGAAUGUGUAUGAUAUGAAGUCAGGACAUGAAGACAGGGAAUGUUCAGGACAUGAAGAUAAAGAAUAUAUAGGAUGUGAAGAUAGAAACCAUUUAGGACAUGAAGACAGGGAAUGUACAGGACAUGAAGACAGGGAAUGUGUAUGAUAUGAAGACAGGACAUGAAGACAGGGAAUGUGUAUGAUAUGAAGACAGGGAAUGCAUAUAUGAAGUCAGGACAUGAAGAUAAAGAAUAUAUAGGAUGUGAAGAUAGAAACCAUUUAGGACAUGAAGACAGGGAAUGUAUAUGAUAUGAAGACAGGGAAUGUGUAUGAUAUGAAGACAGGACAUGAAGACAGGGAAUGUGUAUGAUAUGAAGACAGGACAUGAAGACAGGGAAUGCGUAUGAUAUGAAGUCAGGACAUGAAGAUAAAGAAUAUAUAGGAUGUGAAGAUAGAAACCAUUUAGGACAUGAAGACAGG
Molecule: long non-coding RNA, 755 nt
Organism: Sapajus apella (tufted capuchin)
Lineage: Eukaryota; Metazoa; Chordata; Mammalia; Primates; Cebidae
Exons: 3
Source: RefSeq, a predicted model, not a curated record